AUGCAUGCGCGUGCUAUACAUGCAGUCGUGCGGACCUUUUAAAAGCUUGCUUUUAAAAGGUUAGCGGCGGACGGGUGAGUAACACGUGGGCAACCUGCCUGUAAGAUCGGGAUAACGCCGGGAAACCGGGGCUAAUACCGGAUAGUUUUUUCCUCCGCAUGGAGGAAAAAGGAAAGACGGCUUUUGCUGUCACUUACAGAUGGGCCCGCGGCGCAUUAGCUAGUUGGUGGGGUAACGGCUCACCAAGGCAACGAUGCGUAGCCGACCUGAGAGGGUGAUCGGCCACAUUGGGACUGAGACACGGCCCAAACUCCUACGGGAGGCAGCAGUAGGGAAUCUUCCGCAAUGGACGAAAGUCUGACGGAGCAACGCCGCGUGAGUGAAGAAGGCCUUCGGGUCGUAAAACUCUGUUGCCGGGGAAGAACAAGUGCCGUUCGAACAGGGCGGCGCCUUGACGGUACCCGGCCAGAAAGCCACGGCUAACUACGUGCCAGCAGCCGCGGUAAUACGUAGGUGGCAAGCGUUGUCCGGAAUUAUUGGGCGUAAAGCGCGCGCAGGCGGCUUCUUAAGUCUGAUGUGAAAUCUUGCGGCUCAACCGCAAGCGGUCAUUGGAAACUGGGAGGCUUGAGUGCAGAAGAGGAGAGUGGAAUUCCACGUGUAGCGGUGAAAUGCGUAGAGAUGUGGAGGAACACCAGUGGCGAAGGCGGCUCUCUGGUCUGUAACUGACGCUGAGGCGCGAAAGCGUGGGGAGCAAACAGGAUUAGAUACCCUGGUAGUCCACGCCGUAAACGAUGAGUGCUAAGUGUUAGAGGGUUUCCGCCCUUUAGUGCUGCAGCUAACGCAUUAAGCACUCCGCCUGGGGAGUACGGCCGCAAGGCUGAAACUCAAAGGAAUUGACGGGGGCCCGCACAAGCGGUGGAGCAUGUGGUUUAAUUCGAA
RNAcentral lists this ribosomal RNA (939 nucleotides) under Heyndrickxia coagulans. RNAcentral describes it as "bacterial SSU rRNA". It matches the Rfam family "Bacterial small subunit ribosomal RNA", at positions 33 to 955 of the family's 1533-position model. The record is from RNAcentral. Lineage: Bacteria; Bacillati; Bacillota; Bacilli; Caryophanales; Bacillaceae.